This 502-nucleotide ribosomal RNA is filed under the name uncultured bacterium. RNAcentral's name for it is "partial 16S ribosomal RNA". It matches the Rfam family "Bacterial small subunit ribosomal RNA", at positions 30 to 523 of the family's 1533-position model. The record is from RNAcentral.
AUUGAACGCUGGCGGCAUGCCUUACACAUGCAAGUCGAACGGCAGCACGGGAGCUUGCUCCUGGUGGCGAGUGGCGAACGGGUGAGUAAUACAUCGGAACGUACCCAGUAGUGGGGGAUAACGCACCGAAAGGUGCGCUAAUACCGCAUACGACCUACGGGUGAAAGCGGGGGACCGUAAGGCCUCGCGCUAUUGGAGCGGCCGAUGUCUGAUUAGCUAGUUGGCGGGGUAAUAGCCCACCAAGGCGACGAUCAGUAGCUGGUCUGAGAGGACGAUCAGCCACACUGGGACUGAGACACGGCCCAGACUCCUACGGGAGGCAGCAGUGGGGAAUUUUGGACAAUGGGGGCAACCCUGAUCCAGCAAUGCCGCGUGUGCGAAGAAGGCCUUCGGGUUGUAAAGCACUUUUGUCAGGGAAGAAAUCUUUUGGGCUAAUACCCCGGAAGGAUGACGGUACCUGAAGAAUAAGCACCGGCUAACUACGUGCCAGCCGCCGCCGUAA